AACGAACGCUGGCGGCAUGCCUAAUACAUGCAAGUCGAACGAGACCUCCGGGUGUUGUGGCGCAUGGGUUUGUAACGCGUGGGAACAUGCCCUUAGGUUUGGAAUAACUCUACGACUGGGGUGCCAAUACCGGAUAAUGUCUUAGGACCAAAUAUUUAUUGACCUGGGUUGUGCAAGCGUUGGAUUAGCUCGUAGGUACGCUAAAAGCCUAAUAAGGGGACCAUUCAUAGCUGGUUUGAGAGACUGGUCAGCCACACUGAGACUGAGACACGGCCCAGAAUCCUACGGGAGGCAGGAGUGGGGAAUAUUGGACAGUGGGCGAAGUCCUGAUCCAGCAAGGCCGCGUGAGUGAUGAAGGCCGUAGAGUUGUAAAGCUCUUUUAACCGGGAUGAUAAUGACAGUACCGGGAGAAUAAGCUCCGGCUAACUCCGUG
This 433-nucleotide ribosomal RNA is filed under the name uncultured bacterium. RNAcentral describes it as "partial 16S ribosomal RNA". It matches the Rfam family "Bacterial small subunit ribosomal RNA", at positions 29 to 507 of the family's 1533-position model. The record is from RNAcentral.